GUCGGCUUGUGGACACCGCCUCCUUUUGAUGAUCAACCAAUCAGUAGACGAUCGUCGUCGAACAGAUGUUUGUAGUUUGCAGAAUGGAAAGCACCUUGCAGCGGAAAUUAUUUUCACUUCUACGUGAAAAUCUAGCCAGAAAACUGACCUGUCAAAUAUAAGAAACAGAGUGCUAUUCCAGCUUUGAUGAACUAUAAAGUAAUGGUUUGAAUUUGAAAAGCUUUAUUUAUAUUAGACAGGGAUGAUGACCUGCAGUGAGACAGCGGUAGAAAGUUACAUAUAACUCAUCAUGACCAUUAUGGAAGAUCAGAUCAGAUGAAAAUUAUGUUUAGAAAGCCACCAAAUAUGUCUAUGAAAAGUAGAAAAAAGACAGCAAUUCUAUGUAAAGUACUUAGCAGAAGCAUUGGCUGUUUCAAUACCAAUGUCAGAGUUGGAAUUUAGUGUUUUGAUGCUGAGAGAUAGAGGAACAUUAACUGGACAAUUUAGCUUCUUUUUCGUGUGUCAUUGAAGUUGAUGUAUACCAUCUUAAAAAGCUUUUACCACAGUUAAAAUGAAUUCUAAAUACAGGCAGUCUGAAGAUUUGUGAAUUUUCUAACAAUUGGAGUUUCAAAAUGGAUUUCAUUUAAAAAAAUUAUUUAUUUCACGGAUGAAAUUUGUCGUCUCUUUC
Molecule: long non-coding RNA, 667 nt
Organism: Mytilus californianus (California mussel)
Lineage: Eukaryota; Metazoa; Mollusca; Bivalvia; Mytilida; Mytilidae
Exons: 3
Source: RefSeq, a predicted model, not a curated record